Molecule: ribosomal RNA, 468 nt
Filed under: uncultured bacterium
Lineage: Bacteria
Description: partial 16S ribosomal RNA
Rfam family: Bacterial small subunit ribosomal RNA
Source: RNAcentral
GACGAACGCUGGCGGCGUGCUUAACACAUGCAAGUCGAACGGAAAGGCCCUGCUUUUGUGGGGUGCUCGAGUGGCGAACGGGUGAGUAACACGUGAGUAACCUGCCCUUGACUUUGGGAUAACUUCAGGAAACUGGGGCUAAUACCGGAUAGGAGCUCCUGCUGCAUGGUGGGGGUUGGAAAGUUUCGGCGGUUGGGGAUGGACGCGCGGCUUAUCAGCUUGUUGGUGGGGUAGUGGCUUACCAAGGCUUUGACGGGUAGCCGGCCUGAGAGGGUGACCGGCCACAUUGGGACUGGGAUACGGCCCAGACUCCUACGGGAGGCAGCAGUGGAGAAUAUUGCACAAUGGGCGCGAGCCUGAUGCAGCAACGCCGCGUGCGGGAUGACGGCCUUCGGGUUGUAAACCGCUUUCGCCUGUGACGAAGCGUGAGUGACGGUAAUGGGUGAAGAAGCACCGGCUAACUACGUG